AUUGAACGCUGGCGGCAGGCCUAACACAUGCAAGUCGAGCGGAUGAAGGGAGCUUGCUCCUGGAUUCAGCGGCGGACGGGUGAGUAAUGCCUAGGAAUCUGCCUGGUAGUGGGGGAUAACGUCCGGAAACGGGCGCUAAUACCGCAUACGUCCUGAGGGAGAAAGUGGGGGAUCUUCGGACCUCACGCUAUCAGAUGAGCCUAGGUCGGAUUAGCUAGUUGGUGGGGUAAAGGCCUACCAAGGCGACGAUCCGUAACUGGUCUGAGAGGAUGAUCAGUCACACUGGAACUGAGACACGGUCCAGACUCCUACGGGAGGCAGCAGUGGGGAAUAUUGGACAAUGGGCGAAAGCCUGAUACAGCCAUGCCGCGUGUGUGAAGAAGGUCUUCGGAUUGUAAAGCACUUUAAGUUGGGAGGAAGGGCAGUAAGUUAAUCCCUUGCUGUUUUGACGUUACCAACAGAAUAAGCACCGGCUAACUUCGUG
Molecule: ribosomal RNA, 484 nt
Filed under: uncultured bacterium
Lineage: Bacteria
Description: partial 16S ribosomal RNA
Rfam family: Bacterial small subunit ribosomal RNA
Source: RNAcentral